This 496-nucleotide ribosomal RNA is filed under the name uncultured bacterium. Its description in RNAcentral is "partial 16S ribosomal RNA". It matches the Rfam family "Bacterial small subunit ribosomal RNA", at positions 28 to 506 of the family's 1533-position model. The record is from RNAcentral.
GUUGAACGCUGGCGGCGUGCCUAAUACAUGCAAGUCGAGCGAACAGACGAGGAGCUUGCUCCUCUGACGUUAGCGGCGGACGGGUGAGUAACACGUGGAUAACCUACCUAUAAGACUGGGAUAACUUCGGGAAACCGGAGCUAAUACCGGAUAAUAUAUUGAACCGCAUGGUUCAAUAGUGAAAGACGGUUUUGCUGUCACUUAUAGAUGGAUCCGCGCCGCAUUAGCUAGUUGGUAAGGUAACGGCUUACCAAGGCAACGAUGCGUAGCCGACCUGAGAGGGUGAUCGGCCACACUGGAACUGAGACACGGUCCAGACUCCUACGGGAGGCAGCAGUAGGGAAUCUUCCGCAAUGGGCGAAAGCCUGACGGAGCAACGCCGCGUGAGUGAUGAAGGUCUUCGGAUCGUAAAACUCUGUUAUUAGGGAAGAACAAAUGUGUAAGUAACGAUGCACGUCUUGACGGUACCUAAGCAGAAAGCCACGGCUAACUACGU